GACGAACGCUGGCGGCGUGCCUAAUACACGCAAGUCGAGCGGACUGAUUAAGAGCUUGCUCUUAUGACGUUAGCGGCGGACGGGUGAGUAACACGUGGGCAACCUGCCCUGUAGAUCGGGAUAACACCGAGAAAUCGGUGCUAAUACCGGGUAAUAUCUGAGAUCACAUGAUCUUAGGUUAAAAGAUGGCUCCGGCUAUCACUACAGGAUGGGCCCGCGGCGCAUUAGCUAGUUGGUAAGGUAAUGGCUUACCAAGGCGACGAUGCGUAGCCGACCUGAGAGGGUGAUCGGCCACACUGGGACUGAGACACGGCCCAGACUCCUACGGGAGGCAGCAGUAGGGAAUCUUCCGCAAUGGACGAAAGUCUGACGGAGCAACGCCGCGUGAGUGAUGAAGGGUUUCGGCUCGUAAAGCUCUGUUGUUAGGGAAGAAACAGUACCGAACGAACUAGGUCGGUACCUUGACGGUACCUAACCAGAAAGCCACGGCUAACUACGUG
Molecule: ribosomal RNA, 500 nt
Filed under: uncultured bacterium
Lineage: Bacteria
Description: partial 16S ribosomal RNA
Rfam family: Bacterial small subunit ribosomal RNA
Source: RNAcentral